RNAcentral lists this ribosomal RNA (153 nucleotides) under uncultured beta proteobacterium. Its description in RNAcentral is "partial 16S ribosomal RNA". It matches the Rfam family "Bacterial small subunit ribosomal RNA", at positions 334 to 479 of the family's 1533-position model. The record is from RNAcentral. Lineage: Bacteria; Pseudomonadati; Pseudomonadota; Betaproteobacteria.
UACUCCUACGGGAGGCAGCAGUGGGGAAUUUUGGACAAUGGGGGCAACCCUGAUCCAGCCAUUCCGCGUGAGUGAAGAAGGCCUUCGGGUUGUAAAGCUCUUUCGCAAGGGAAGAAAACUUAGGCUCUAAUAUAGCCUGAGGCUGACGGUACC